Molecule: ribosomal RNA, 222 nt
Filed under: uncultured bacterium
Lineage: Bacteria
Description: partial 16S ribosomal RNA
Rfam family: Bacterial small subunit ribosomal RNA
Source: RNAcentral
CGUGUGGGCAACCUGCCCUGUACUGUGGAAUAAUCAUUGGAAACGAUGACUAAUACCGCAUGUGGUCCUCGGAAGGCAUCUUCUGAGGAAGAAAGGAUUUAUUCGGUACAGGAUGGGCCCGCAUCUGAUUAGCUAGUUGGUGAGAUAACAGCCCACCAAGGCGACGAUCAGUAGCCGACCUGAGAGGGUGACCGGCCACAUUGGGACUGAGACACGGCCCAA